GCUGGAUGUGCAGCGAAGCAGUGAGGACAAGAAUCUAGUUCCAAGCCCAUCAAGCCGGGCUAGCAUUGGGUGACCUCCUGCACCAGCCAGCCUGUCUUUCGGGGUUUGAAAUGGAUUUUCCUCCUUUCUGUGUGUGAGCACAACCCGAGGUACAGCUCUGUUACCAACGCCCAUCUCAGGUGUGCAUUUACAGGAGUCGACGUCAGAGCCUAUUCCCAAGCACACAGGCCCAAUUUUACCUCCUUAACCAUUUAGAUCCCAUCCUGCUGCCAGAAGGAUCCUGUUAGAAUGUUGAUGUGAUCAUGUCAUUUUACUGUUUAGAACCCUCUGCAACAACUCCUCCUAGCCUGGAAGGAGCAGCUUUCUGACCGAGACCCCAGAUCUAGACCGGAAAUGGUGCUGUUGCUUCUUGCCUGAAGUGUCUACACGUGGAAAG
Molecule: long non-coding RNA, 436 nt
Organism: Balaenoptera musculus (blue whale)
Lineage: Eukaryota; Metazoa; Chordata; Mammalia; Artiodactyla; Balaenopteridae
Exons: 3
Source: RefSeq, a predicted model, not a curated record